AGUAAAUAAUAAUUAUGAAAGCAAAAAAUUAUGGCGGUAUUUUAAGCUUUUCAGAGGAAUUUGCUCUUUAAUGGAUAAAACACCUUAAUCUUACUUAAAUUUGUUAAAUCAGUUUGUAUACCACUAUGAAAUUAAUUAAUUAUUUUAAUUAAUAAAAUUUAUUAAUAUUUUAAAAAAAAUUAAGUCAAGGUGCAGCAAAAAUUUAAGAAUGAAGUGAAUUACAUUUCUUUUAAGAAACCAGUAAAAUUAAAAUUAUUUUUAGGAUUUGAAAGUAAAAUUAAAAUAGAAUGUUAAUUUGAAUUAAGCUCUAAAAUAUGUACAUA
RNAcentral lists this ribosomal RNA (323 nucleotides) under Rhipicephalus decoloratus. Its description in RNAcentral is "partial 12S ribosomal RNA". The record is from RNAcentral. Lineage: Eukaryota; Metazoa; Arthropoda; Arachnida; Ixodida; Ixodidae.